RNAcentral lists this long non-coding RNA (924 nucleotides) under Homo sapiens (human). RNAcentral describes it as "non-protein coding ENTPD1-AS1:36". Lineage: Eukaryota; Metazoa; Chordata; Mammalia; Primates; Hominidae. The record is from RNAcentral.
GCAGCAGAGCUCCACAAAAGUGCGGGAAUGUCUGACAGGGAAGAAUCAGAGAAACCUUCACCAGCAGCCCGACAUUCACCUGGACGGACAGUGCACUUUUCUUACGUCUGGGCAGGGAAGGCAGGGCGCACCAUCUACCGCAGGCUAGGAUGAUCACCAACCGCCCCACCGCACCCUGCGCCAGCCCUACGGCGCCCGCGGGCUGCAAGUAGCGGCGACCCAGGAGCAUGCGCGCUGCCGCCCCUGGCCUGCCAGGACCCAGAGGGAGCGGAGCACGCGCCUUUGGGAAUCUUCGGUGCGCCAAGUCUGUUCGCCGCCGGGGUCUAUCACCCCCGCCCCUCGCCUCUGCCCGUGAGCGUAGGAAACAGAGACUCUCAGACAUGAAUACUGUGACACUGACCACCAGGCCAACUUAACAUCAGCAGAUAUCCUGUCUCAGAUGAAGAGACAGUUAAUCAGAGACUUACUCCAACCCAGAAGUUUAUACCAAAAGACUUGAUUAGCGCAAUAAAAGCACUAAAUGAGGAGCUCGGAUUAAUUAUUGAUUUAACAUACACCACAAGAUAUUAUGAAGUUAAGAAUGGCCUGUCCAGAAGACAGCCAAAUACAUCCUUCAAACAGACUUCACUGCAGGAGACAGAGUGGAUUCAUCCUGUAUUCUCCAUGUAGACUUCCAUCUUCAUGAGUACUCCAAGAAGAUGGUUCAGUUGACUAUUGCAAAGGUAAAAAUCCAAGAGAUACAGAUACAGAAUAGGACAGAGAGACAUAUUUUUAAGCUAUUGAUUACAAUUAUGGUAUGCCUAUAGAUUGCAGAACCGAGGAGAAAGGGAACAUUAUGAUUUACCAUCAAGAAAAACUUAGAAUUGGUGCUGAGUAGUUCAUUCUAAGAAUUACCAUUUAUCUGUAUUUGCCCCCAUUUUCAUU